AAAUGUUUGAUUCUUCCCCACUUUAAAAAAUAAUUUCACUAAUAUUCUCUUUAUGUUUCCGUUGCACUUCAGUCUAAUUCUUAAAAAAAUUAUGCUUUAAAAAUAAAUUAACUUUUCUUUUUUCUUUUCUUUUCUUUUUUUUUUUUUUUUUUUUUUGGGCUUCAGUCUUUCUGCCCCCGAUAACAGAAAAUCUCUUUUUCGUCUUAAAAAAAAAAAAAAAAAAAAAAAAAGCCUGUGGAAGACUCAGCAGAACCCAGGAAGCGCAGAAUUGGGAGAAAAGUCUUUGGCUGGGGCUGUUUCAAGUCUCUGGUUCAAUGGGCUGCUCGAAGCCAGGACUGGGUAAUUCUUUCCAGACGUCUUGACUUCUCCUUCCCCGCCGUUGUUGCCCUUCUGCCUCCUCCAACUUAAGGGGGUCUUAACAAGUGAGCUGGAUCUUCUGAGGGGUGGACUUCUUUGGAACUCGACAGGACCUUGAAGACUGGGUUCUUAGUCCUUAUCACAUAUAUGGGCUAUAAUGAAUAAGUCUAAACAGAAAAGUCGAAUAAACUGGAAAUGAUGCUUUCAUCACGUCGCACAAGGAGCUGUUUGGAUCAGAAGAUGACAUCCUUUCACCCAUCCCUUUCAGGUUUUGACAUCCUAAAAUGUACCUUAUGGAACCCAUACCUGUUAUGUUUUCACCUGUACAAGGCAACAGAGAAAACAUGGUAGUUUUUACUUGAGUAGAUGUGACUUAGCAAUAUGUUGUUGCUGACCUCCAUCCCACAGCACAAAACAUAUGUUUAUAUGUCUGACAGACAAAGUAUCCAGAACAAGGAUUUAGUACCUUCAUAAUCCUCUGUAUAUGUGGUUCUAGAACUUUUGGUAAAGAAACUCUUUAUACUCUUAUUAAUUAUUGAGAACCUCAAAAAAAGUUUAUAUGUUAUAUGUAUCAAUAUUUACCACAUUAGACAUUAAAGCUGACUUAAAAAGUUAAAAUACUUAAGUCAUUUGAAGUAAUAAUAAAUGCAGUUACAUACCAACUUAAUAACAUUUUGCGAAAAUAGCUAUUUUUCAAAACCUAAAGUGAGAAAAGUGGCAGUUUUCCAUUUUUGCAAAUCUCUUUGCUGUCUAGCUGAUAGAAGACAGCUGGAUUCUCCUAUUUGCUUUUGCAUUCAAUUGUUGUUUUGAUUGAAGUAUAUGAAAAAAAAUCUGGUGUCAUACACAUAUAUAAUUGGGAAAUGGAAGAGUAUUUACACAGGCUUUUUUAGAUAUUCUUCCUUUAUACUACAUCAAAACUUGAUAAGUUGCAAUGUUGUGAAUUGGCCCAGGGCUUGGCCCUCUGAAGAUUUGCUGAAAAUCACUGACAUGAAGUAGAUUAAUAGGAUAAAAGGCAUAUACAUUUAUUUAAUGUGUAUACACAGCGGCCUUUAGAAUGAAGACCCAAAGAUACAGAAGAAAUUGUCUGUUUUUAUGCUUAAGUUUAACAAAGAAUGGGCAGCCGUGUAGAGAUAGGAUAGGACAAAAAGGGCAUAAUCUAAUGCUAGCUGACUGAGUGAGGAAGCCCAGCAAGGCCUGUCAGUGUCUCCUCAGUAUGAGUGAAUUUUGUGUACUCUGAUAAUACAUUAAAAUCUGUUUAUGUACUCUGAUAACA
This 1630-nucleotide long non-coding RNA is filed under the name Homo sapiens (human). RNAcentral's name for it is "HSALNT0349417". The record is from RNAcentral. Lineage: Eukaryota; Metazoa; Chordata; Mammalia; Primates; Hominidae.